GAGUUUGAUCCUGGCUCAGGAUGAACGCUGGCGGCGUGCCUAAUACAUGCAAGUCGAGCGAACGGACGAGAAGCUUGCUUCUCUGAUGUUAGCGGCGGACGGGUGAGUAACACGUGGAUAACCUACCUAUAAGACUGGGAUAACUUCGGGAAACCGGAGCUAAUACCGGAUAAUAUUUUGAACCGCAUGGUUCAAAAGUGAAAGACGGUCUUGCUGUCACUUAUAGAUGGAUCCGCGCUGCAUUAGCUAGUUGGUAAGGUUAACGGCUUACCAAGGCAACGAUGCAUAGCCGACCUGAGAGGGUGAUCGGCCACACUGGAACUGAGACACGGUCCAGACUCCUACGGGAGGCAGCAGUAGGGAAUCUUCCGCAAUGGGCGAAAGCCUGACGGAGCAACGCCGCGUGAGUGAUGAAGGUCUUCGGAUCGUAAAACUCUGUUAUUAGGGAAGAACAUAUGUGUAAGUAACUGUGCACAUCUUGACGGUACCUAAUCAGAAAGCCACGGCUAACUACGUGCCAGCAGCCGCGGUAAUACGUAGGUGGCAAGCGUUAUCCGGAAUUAUUGGGCGUAAAGCGCGCGUAGGCGGUUUUUUAAGUCUGAUGUGAAAGCCCACGGCUCAACCGUGGAGGGUCAUUGGAAACUGGAAAACUUGAGUGCAGAAGAGGAAAGUGGAAUUCCAUGUGUAGCGGUGAAAUGCGCAGAGAUAUGGAGGAACACCAGUGGCGAAGGCGACUUUCUGGUCUGUAACUGACGCUGAUGUGCGAAAGCGUGGGGAUCAAACAGGAUUAGAUACCCUGGUAGUCCACGCCGUAAACGAUGAGUGCUAAGUGUUAGGGGGUUUCCGCCCCUUAGUGCUGCAGCUAACGCAUUAAGCACUCCGCCUGGGGAGUACGACCGCAAGGUUGAAACUCAAAGGAAUUUGACGGGGACCCGCACAAGCGGUGGAGCAUGUGGUUUAAUUCGAAGCAACGCGAAGAACCUUACCAAAUCUUGACAUCCUUUGACAACUCUAGAGAUAGAGCCUUCCCCUUCGGGGGACAAAGUGACAGGUGGUGCAUGGUUGUCGUCAGCUCGUGUCGUGAGAUGUUGGGUUAAGUCCCGCAACGAGCGCAACCCUUAAGCUUAGUUGCCAUCAUUAAGUUGGGCACUCUAAGUUGACUGCCGGUGACAAACCGGAGGAAGGUGGGGAUGACGUCAAAUCAUCAUGCCCCUUAUGAUUUGGGCUACACACGUGCUACAAUGGACAAUACAAAGGGCAGCGAAACCGCGAGGUCAAGCAAAUCCCAUAAAGUUGUUCUCAGUUCGGAUUGUAGUCUGCAACUCGACUACAUGAAGCUGGAAUCGCUAGUAAUCGUAGAUCAGCAUGCUACGGUGAAUACGUUCCCGGGUCUUGUGCACACAGCCCGUCACACCACGAGAGUUUGUAACACCCGAAGCCGGUGGAGUAACCUUUUAGGAGCUAGCCGUCGAAGGUGGGACAAAUGAUUGGGGUGAAGUCGUAACAAGGUAGCCGUAUCGGAAGGUGCGGCUGGAUCACC
This 1540-nucleotide ribosomal RNA is filed under the name Staphylococcus aureus subsp. aureus CIGC348. RNAcentral describes it as "16S ribosomal RNA". It matches the Rfam family "Bacterial small subunit ribosomal RNA". Lineage: Bacteria; Bacillati; Bacillota; Bacilli; Caryophanales; Staphylococcaceae. The record is from RNAcentral.